AGCGAACGCUGGCGGCAGGCUUAACACAUGCAAGUCGAACGGGCACUUCGGUGUCAGUGGCAGACGGGUGAGUAACACGUGGGAACGUACCUUUUGGUUCGGAACAACUGAGGGAAACUUCAGCUAAUACCGGAUAAGCCCUUACGGGGAAAGAUUUAUCGCCGAAAGAUCGGCCCGCGUCUGAUUAGCUAGUUGGUAGGGUAAUGGCCUACCAAGGCGACGAUCAGUAGCUGGUCUGAGAGGAUGUUCAGCCACAUUGGGACUGAGACACGGCCCAAACGCCUACGGGAGGCAGCAGUGGGGAAUAUUGGACAAUGGGGGCAACCCUGAUCCAGCCAUGCCGCGUGAGUGAUGAAGGCCCUAGGGUUGUAAAGCUCUUUUGGGCGGGAAGAUAAUGACGGUACCGCAAGAAUAAGCCCCGGCUAACUUCGUGCCAGCAGCCGCGGUAA
This 449-nucleotide ribosomal RNA is filed under the name uncultured bacterium. Its description in RNAcentral is "partial 16S ribosomal RNA". It matches the Rfam family "Bacterial small subunit ribosomal RNA", at positions 29 to 523 of the family's 1533-position model. The record is from RNAcentral.